AUUACAAUAUAACUUAUUGUAUAUUUCAAUGCUGAAAUGUCUCAGUAUGAGAAUGAGAGGUUACGCCAGCAACGUAUUCGUCAGUUUGCCCGUUCAUUUCGCUUGUUGUCAUAGGCGUGGGAGGACAAUCAACGGACAUUGGAUCCGAUAGGCCAAUGUGUGGUUGGCGAGGUAGGGACAGCAACGGGCCAUUGCCGGUCCGUCAGCUGGGACCACACAAGGUGAAACAUUAGGUGGAUCUAGGGCAACACUUGGGACUUCAAAUUUCAGGGUAGGGGCCAACGACGACAAGGACGCAGCCAAUGGCCGUAUUGAGAUAACGGUUCACCCGGAUGGUAGUCUGCAUCGAGACACUUCCGGCCUAUAUUCAGGUCUGAAUCUACCUUAGGGGGUACCACUUAGAAGCGUGUCAUUUUGAUAACAAAACAAUGGUAUGAAGUCGAGAUGAAGAAACACAUUAAAUGGAAGUCGAGAAACGAAGGUAAAGUCCGUUGCAUCUAUAACAAGAAGGCCUGCGAACUUUACAAAAAAUGGGAACAUGAGGUCCGCAAUAGCAACGACGAGAAGUUUACCUCCGCUGUUCCCGCAAAUGUCUUAAAGCGUUCGAGGGAGUAUUAGGAAUCCAAAGACGCCAUAAAGAAGUAAAAAAUAGCGAAAGCAAAUCGAUGGGGUGGAAAUCCUAAUGCUGACAUGAAGUCCACAC
Molecule: long non-coding RNA, 703 nt
Organism: Andrographis paniculata
Lineage: Eukaryota; Viridiplantae; Streptophyta; Magnoliopsida; Lamiales; Acanthaceae
Exons: 5
Source: RefSeq, a predicted model, not a curated record